This 832-nucleotide long non-coding RNA is filed under the name Phoenix dactylifera (date palm). RNAcentral's name for it is "long non-coding RNA (PDAC_LNC005396)". The record is from RNAcentral. Lineage: Eukaryota; Viridiplantae; Streptophyta; Magnoliopsida; Arecales; Arecaceae.
AGUUCGGCCCCGGCUGCUCCAACGGUGGGAUCCUUUAGUCGAAUUUAUAGCAUUCUAUGGGAAGCAUUUGGCUGCUUAUGAAGUAGUAGCAUUCAUCGAGAGGGUGGAAGACAUCCCCCCGUUUGUCUUCCUGUGUCUGGCGGGCUUCAAGUAUAAGAUCUCCAUUCAGAAGCAUGGCUUCUCUAUUCGGUAAGUUGGGCAAGAGGAGGUGCUGGAGGUCGACUCGGAGCUGAGCAACUGCCAUAAUGAGCAAGAAACAAAAGCUGGUGCAGCUACAGGUAGUGGUGGUGGAGCACAGUGAUCGUUUGAAAGUAAAAACUCUGGCUUAGAAUGUGGACAAUUGCGAAGCUUCUUUGGCUUUGGAUGCGAUUAAGGAAUCUGGAAUCUAGAGAAGAUUGAUAUAGGGUUGAAGGGGAUUUUGAUGAUCAGCAUAUUGUCUCAAAGCUCCUGCGGAGUGACAUGCAGCCGUUGGGAAGACAACGCGGUUUUGCCAAGGAAUCCUCGUGUUGCCAUGCAAAACUAGAUUUUUCACUAGCACCCUCAACAACAAUAUCAAAAGAAUCCUAAUGUUGACAAACCCAAAUUUCGAAUUGAAAAUUUCACACACUAUUGUCUCCGCAAACAUAAAUAAAAUCUAUUAUUUUGAUCCAAAGAUGAUAAGUAAAAUUAUCAAAGAUUUCACCAACAUGAAUACUCUACAACCUCAAAAUAAAAUCAACUCCAAUGAGAAAAUAUGCCAAUAUGCAAUAUCUUCAAGCACAUUUUCCUCUUACAUGCCAUUUUCAUGCAUGAUCCAGAAUAUGCUAAUUAGAUAUCAUAAAAAAUCUUUAUU